Long non-coding RNA from Panthera uncia (snow leopard), 292 nucleotides. RefSeq lists it as uncharacterized. Lineage: Eukaryota; Metazoa; Chordata; Mammalia; Carnivora; Felidae. The transcript is spliced from 3 exons. The record is from RefSeq and is a predicted model, not a curated record.
UUUCACAUGGCUGGCUCCUUCUCAGUGGCUGGCUCCUUAAUUAUCACUUCCUAAGAGUGAUAUGAAGAUUAAUUACACUUUCUAAACAGGCCACUGGUGAAAAUAACUGAAAUAUAUGAUGGCUCUUUGAGGAAAGGCACUGUGUAACACUAAGCAUGUCCUAGUGUAAUAGCAAGUAAAUGAAGUUCAUCCUCUGCCUGCUCUACAUUCACUAUUGAAGGAACUAUAAAGACUAUACAUGAUUUGGAAAUGAGACUGUACCAAACAAUGGCCAAAGAAGGCCACUCCAUGC